UACGUAGGGUGCAAGCGUUAAUCGGAAUUACUGGGCGUAAAGCGUGCGCAGGCGGUUGUGCAAGACAGGUGUGAAAGCCCCGGGCUCAACCUGGGAACUGCAUUGGAAACUGGCGAGCUUGAAUGCGGCAGAGGGGGGUGGAAUUCCGCGUGUAGCAGUGAAAUGCGUAGAGAUGCGGAGGAACACCGAUGGCGAAGGCGGCAUCCUGGACCGAGAUUGACACUGAUGAGCGAAAGCUAGGGGAGCAAACGGG
This 253-nucleotide ribosomal RNA is filed under the name uncultured bacterium. Its description in RNAcentral is "partial 16S ribosomal RNA". It matches the Rfam family "Bacterial small subunit ribosomal RNA", at positions 524 to 776 of the family's 1533-position model. The record is from RNAcentral.